GUCGAGAAUCUUCCGCAAUGCGCGAAAGCGUGACGGAGCGACACCGCGUGAUGGAUGAAGUCCUUCGGGGCGUAAACAUCUUUUAUAAAGGAGGAAAUUUUUGACGUUACUUUAUGAAUAAGGGGCUCCCAAUCUCGUGCCAGCAGGAGCGGUAAUACGAGAGCCUCAAGCGUUAUCCGGAAUCAUUGGGCGUAAAGGGUGCGUAGGUGGUUUGAUUAGUCUCCCGUUAAAACUUCGAGCUUAACUCGAAAAGAGCGGGGGAAACGGUCAAACUAGAGUAUGUGAGAGGUGUGUGGAACUCAUGGUGUAGGGGUGAAAUCCGUUGAUAUCAUGGGGAACACCAAAAGCGAAGGCAGCACACUUGCACAUCACUGACACUGAGGCACGAAACCUAAGGUAGCGAAUGGGAUUAGAAACCCGAGUAGUCC
RNAcentral lists this ribosomal RNA (428 nucleotides) under uncultured bacterium. RNAcentral's name for it is "partial 16S ribosomal RNA". It matches the Rfam family "Bacterial small subunit ribosomal RNA", at positions 354 to 796 of the family's 1533-position model. The record is from RNAcentral.